Molecule: ribosomal RNA, 477 nt
Filed under: Diogenes goniochirus
Lineage: Eukaryota; Metazoa; Arthropoda; Malacostraca; Decapoda; Diogenidae
Description: partial large subunit ribosomal RNA
Source: RNAcentral
UCGGGUUUUUAUAUCUGGUUCCCCAAAAAAUAAAUUUAAUUUACACUAAAAAUUUUUCUAUUUUUAGUGCUAGAAAGUUAGGGUAGAUCUUAACUUUCAAAAAAGAAAAAUCUAUAAGAUUAAACUCAUAAAUAAAUUAAUUUAAAUAAGCUUUAAUAGUAGCUAAUUUUUCACAGUGUUUUAACUGAAAUUAAUCUGUUCGAUUAUUUAUGUAUCUUUAGAAAAGAAUUAUUGAGGAAUUUAUUUUAACUUAUACAAUAAAGGUAUUAUAAGACUAUCAGUAAAAUUUUGUGUUAAUUUAAAUAUUUUUUUAGAAAAUAAAAUUUUUAUUAGAUUAAGCAAUUUAAUUAAAGAACUCGGCAAAAACUAUUCUCGCCUGUUUAACAAAAACAUGUCCAAAUGAAGAAAUAUUUGGUCUGACCUGCCCGGUGAAAUUAUUUAACGGCCGCGGUAUUUCUGACUGUGCCAAGGUAGCAU